RNAcentral lists this transfer RNA (89 nucleotides) under Terriglobia bacterium. RNAcentral's name for it is "tRNA-Tyr". It matches the Rfam family "tRNA". Rfam says of the family: Transfer RNA (tRNA) molecules are approximately 80 nucleotides in length. The record is from RNAcentral. Lineage: Bacteria; Pseudomonadati; Acidobacteriota; Terriglobia.
GGACAGGUGGCUGAGUGGUCAAAAGCAGCAGACUGUAAAUCUGCCGACCCAUGCGGUCUACGGAGGUUCGAACCCUCCCCUGUCCACCA